Long non-coding RNA from Orcinus orca (killer whale), 251 nucleotides. RefSeq lists it as uncharacterized. The transcript has 3 exons. Lineage: Eukaryota; Metazoa; Chordata; Mammalia; Artiodactyla; Delphinidae. The record is from RefSeq and is a predicted model, not a curated record.
AUGAGGGGCUCAUGAUAAAGAACACAAAUCCUUUGCCACUUGAGGUCCUGUGGAAAUUUCAUCAUUACUUUCUGGAUUACUCUAACAGCUUCCUAACUACAGGCAUACAUCGGAGAUAGUGUAGCUUCAGUUCCAGGGAGGCACAAUAAAGCAAAGACAGCAGUAAAGCAAGUCAUAUGAAUUUUUUGGUUCCCAGAAUGUUCUGCCCACACUGUGAAUGGCUGGUUUCUUCUGGCUUCAUCCAAUCUCAG